Molecule: ribosomal RNA, 252 nt
Filed under: Acropyga guianensis
Lineage: Eukaryota; Metazoa; Arthropoda; Insecta; Hymenoptera; Formicidae
Description: partial large subunit ribosomal RNA
Source: RNAcentral
GAAUUUUAUAUAAAUUUUUUUUAAAAAAAUUUAUAUAAAAGAAUUUUUAUAUUUUAUUGGGGGGAUAAUAAAAUUUAUUUAACUUUUAUAUUUAUAAUAAAAUUAUUUUUUUAAAAAUAUAUUUAUUUAAUAAACAUUUAUGAAUGAAUUAAAAUGAAUGAUAAAAUAAUUAAAUUUAUUUAAUUAGAAUAAAUUACCUUAGGGAUAACAGCGUAAUAAUUUUUUAAAGAUCAUAUUAAAAGGAAUGAUUGC